AGAGUUUGAUCCUGGCUCAGGACGAACGCUGGCGGCGUGCUUAACACAUGCAAGUCGAGCGAUGAAGCUUCUUCGGAAGUGGAUUAGCGGCGGACGGGUGAGUAACACGUGGGUAACCUGCCCUAUAGUGGGGAAUAGCCUUUCGAAAGGAAGAUUAAUACCCCAUAAGAUUGUAGUUCCGCAUGGGACAGCAAUUAAAGGAGCAAUUCGCUAUAGGAUGGACCCGCGGCGCAUUAGCUAGUUGGUGAGGUAACGGCUUACCAAGGCGACGAUGCGUAGCCGACCUGAGAGGGUGAUCGGCCACAUUGGGACUGAGACACGGCCCAAACUCCUACGGGAGGCAGCAGUGGGGAAUAUUGCACAAUGGGGGAAACCCUGAUGCAGCAACGCCGCGUGAGUGAUGACGGUCUUCGGAUUGUAAAGCUCUGUCUUCAGGGACGAUAAUGACGGUACCUGAGGAGGAAGCCACGGCUAACUACGUGCCAGCAGCCGCGGUAAUACGUAGGUGGCAAGCGUUGUCCGGAUUUACUGGGCGUAAAGGGAGCGUAGGCGGAUUUUUAAGUGGGAUGUGAAAUACCCGGGCUCAACCUGGGUGCUGCAUUCCAAACUGGAAAUCUAGAGUGCAGGAGAGGAAAGUGGAAUUCCUAGUGUAGCGGUGAAAUGCGUAGAGAUUAGGAAGAAUACCAGUGGCGAAGGCGCCUUUCUGGACUGUAACUGACACUGAGGCUCGAAAGCAUGGGUAGCGAACAGGAUUAGAUACCCUGGUAGUCCAUGCCGUAAACGAUGAAUGCUAGGUGUUGGAGGGUUUCCGCCCUCUGUGCCGCCGCUAACGCAUUAAGUAUUCCGCCUGGGGAGUACGGUCGCAAGAUUAAAACUCAAAGGAAUUGACGGGGGCCCGCACAAGCGGUGGAGUAUGUGGUUUAAUUCGACGCAACGCGAAGAACCUUACCAGGUCUUGACAUACUCAUAAAUGUUCCAGAGAUGGAACUUUCCUUCGGGACAGGCGAGACAGGUGGUGCAUGGUUGUCGUCAGCUCGUGUCGUGAGAUGUUGGGUUAAGUCCCGCAACGAGCGCAACCCCUAUCUUUAGUAGCCAGCAGGUGAAGCUGGGCACUCUGGAGAGACUGCCAGGGAUAACCUGGAGGAAGGUGGGGAUGACGUCAAAUCAUCAUGCCCCUUAUGAUCUGGGCUACACACGUGCUACAAUGGCGUAAACAAAGGGAAGCGAGAGUGCGAGCUGGAGCAAAUCCCAAAAAUAACGUCUCAGUUCGGAUUGUAGUCUGCAACUCGACUACAUGAAGCUGGAAUCGCUAGUAACCGCGAAUCAGAAUGUCGCGGUGAAUACGUUCCCGGGUUGUGCACACACCGCCCGUCA
RNAcentral lists this ribosomal RNA (1374 nucleotides) under human gut metagenome. RNAcentral describes it as "bacterial SSU rRNA". It matches the Rfam family "Bacterial small subunit ribosomal RNA". The record is from RNAcentral.